Molecule: long non-coding RNA, 513 nt
Organism: Osmerus eperlanus (European smelt)
Lineage: Eukaryota; Metazoa; Chordata; Actinopteri; Osmeriformes; Osmeridae
Exons: 3
Source: RefSeq, a predicted model, not a curated record
AGAGGGCUUAGAGGCACCCUGCUGUCACUGUCGUACUGUAGAGAUGGACCCCUGUUUCCUGCUGGGCUAUGAACACACAGCCCCUACAGGGAACACUGGGGGAGGGGAGAGGUGGAGGUCACUGACUGACUCAUCUGAAGGUCUGACACUGUCAGGCAAAAAUAUUGCAGUUGUUUAUCUAUAUCUCACUGGAAUCAAACUAGUUAAGGAGGCGUUUUCCUGGUUUGUGUUGUUGCGCAGUGUUGUGACACACAGACAUGAAGUUUCCUGUGCCAUAGAGCCCUGUGACGGGAACCCAGACAAGUCUUGCAUCUGAAGACAAGGCGUAUUUGACUGCACCGUAGACAACAUGAGUAAACCAUGAAAACAACAGGAAACGGUUGCAACCCUCUUCCUCUGUAAUAAAAAAAGAGAAGCACUAGUGUACAGGAGUUGCUUCUUUGGGUAUGUGUUUGUGCAGGCGUGUGACUUGUUCAUGACUAAAUCUCUUCCUGCUGGAAUAAAAAAGAGAAU